RNAcentral lists this ribosomal RNA (253 nucleotides) under uncultured bacterium. RNAcentral describes it as "partial 16S ribosomal RNA". It matches the Rfam family "Bacterial small subunit ribosomal RNA", at positions 524 to 776 of the family's 1533-position model. The record is from RNAcentral.
GACAGAGGGUGCAAGCGUUGUUCGGAUUUACUGGGCGUAAAGUGCGUGUAGGCGGCUUUGCAAGUCGGAUGUGAAAUCCCACGGCUCAACCGUGGAAGUGCAUCCGAAACUGCAUCGCUGGAGUCUCGGAGAGGAAGGUGGAAUGCUUGGUGUAGAGGUGAAAUUCGUAGAUAUCAAGCAGAACACCUGCGGCGAAGGCGGCCUUCUGGACGAUGACUGACGCUGAGACGCGAAAGCGUGGGGAGCAAACAGG